GACAAUUUAAAUGGGAGCUUCGGCUGAGAGGUUACGAAAGUAACGACCAUCUAACCUGAUCUAGGUAAUGCUAGCGUAGGAAUUUAAAUUUCUAUACAC
This 99-nucleotide non-coding RNA is filed under the name Coprobacillus sp. RNAcentral's name for it is "TPP sequence". It matches the Rfam family "TPP riboswitch aptamer (THI element)". Rfam says of the family: Vitamin B(1) in its active form thiamin pyrophosphate (TPP) is an essential coenzyme that is synthesised by coupling of pyrimidine and thiazole moieties in bacteria. The record is from RNAcentral. Lineage: Bacteria; Bacillati; Bacillota; Erysipelotrichia; Erysipelotrichales; Coprobacillaceae.